GGUUUUAUCUGGUUGGUGCUUGUCUUCUGGGUUUGGAGCUUUUUCCCCAAUGGUGGGUUCCUUCAAGGUUGAUACGCUAAGCGUCUCCAAGAUUCACAGAGCUGCUUUGAUGGUUGGAUGGCUGGAUGGCUGACUCCCAAAGAGAAUAAGACACUAGCAUGCUCUGCUUAGCGUCAAAUCGCAAAGCCAUAGUCAAUGGCUCUGGUUUUUUGGCUAAUAAGUUUUUAUUGUUGGCUAGGUUGCGUUUCAAUGGUGAUUUUCGAAUGGUUUGCUAGCUUAGGUUGAGCUUUGCAGCAACUACAAUCCACUAUUUUCAGUUGGCAGUCAGCUUUGGUGCAGCGACAAUGCUAGUGACAUUGAGAGUCUUGUGAUUUUAUCUUUUAGGUCGCCUAGGGUUUCUACUGCAAGGAGCUUGGGACUUGGGCUCUGUAACUUGAGCUGAACUUCUAGGCUUCACAUUG
Molecule: unclassified non-coding RNA, 461 nt
Filed under: Hevea brasiliensis (rubber tree)
Lineage: Eukaryota; Viridiplantae; Streptophyta; Magnoliopsida; Malpighiales; Euphorbiaceae
Source: RNAcentral